This 234-nucleotide ribosomal RNA is filed under the name Idiomarina sp. H105. RNAcentral describes it as "partial 23S ribosomal RNA". It matches the Rfam family "Bacterial large subunit ribosomal RNA", at positions 2572 to 2805 of the family's 2925-position model. Lineage: Bacteria; Pseudomonadati; Pseudomonadota; Gammaproteobacteria; Alteromonadales; Idiomarinaceae. RNAcentral also lists the same sequence under 1 other name. The record is from RNAcentral.
UAUGGCUGUUCGCCAUUUAAAGUGGUACGCGAGCUGGGUUUAGAACGUCGUGAGACAGUUCGGUCCCUAUCUGCCGUGGGCGUUUGAGAGUUGAGAGGAGCUGCUCCUAGUACGAGAGGACCGGAGUGGACGAACCUCUGGUGUUCGGGUUGUCAUGCCAAUGGCACUGCCCGGUAGCUAUGUUCGGAAUCGAUAACCGCUGAAAGCAUCUAAGCGGGAAGCGAGCCUCGAGAU